Long non-coding RNA from Ceratosolen solmsi marchali, 1467 nucleotides. RefSeq lists it as uncharacterized. The transcript is spliced from 3 exons. The record is from RefSeq and is a predicted model, not a curated record. Lineage: Eukaryota; Metazoa; Arthropoda; Insecta; Hymenoptera; Agaonidae.
AAAACUAAAUUUCAUGGACUUGUAAAUAGUGAGCAGAUUUUAACGUGGAUGAAUCAUUGGCAAAUUGGAAAAAAUUACACAAAUCCAAUGCAGCUAGAAAGUUUAAUUCCAGUGUUUACUAAUAUGCUAAUUGAAUUAUCGACACUCGAGAGUUAUUUACGCGUUCAAAUGGAACAUUAUUAUUUUACGGCAAUGUUAGAUGAAUGGAUUGGCACAAACAUUGAUCCCAUGAAGGCAAAAUUAAUGAAAUUGAAAAAAACGGCAGAGAAUCAAAUCAAGAUAAGCAGCAAUUUAUAAACUAUAUCAUAAAAAUAACAAAAAAAUAUACUAAAAAUCUGAAAACUAAAAAUAUAUUUAACAUAAUAUCUAUAGGCACAAUUAUAUUGUAUAUUUUAAUUAUGUGCAUGUGCAUGUGCAUAAUAUAUAGCGUUAAAAAAAAUGAAUGUCUGAAUUUUUCACGUAUUCUCGCGUUCGUGGAGGAAAACCCAUUCAUUAAAUUCAGAAGCCUUUCUUUCUUAUUGUUUCCGGGCAUAAUGUCGGGAGGCGUCGCUACACGAAGUUAAUAAAUUCUUUUAAAUAAAGUACAUUCGAGGGCGAAAGAUGUCGAAGUUCGACGACCGACACGCACAGAUUCUCGAUGAGCAAUUUGAGGACAUCUUGUAUCGGGUUAAACCAUAUCUGUUGAAUUUGGCGAUAUCAAGCGACUCCCGUCAUUGCCGGCUUUGGCUUGAGCGUUUCGACCAUGCCGAGGACCAGCGCAGCCUCAGGAAUGACUAUCUACUGGAGCUUUAUCGACAACUGAAAAAUGGUUACCUGAGAGUGCCUUUCAAUAAACCGCCAGAAAACGGCAGGCUUGUGCCUCUCUCAAAGUUCCAUCGUUUGGUACACGCCACUUCGUUAUUUUAUUACCGAAUCCCCUUCAACCACAACCUAAAAUGCCAUUGUACCAUUUUUAAUUUGUGGUUAAGUAUUAAUCUAAUCGUAAGAGAGCCCAUGAAAACGAACGUGAUUUCCUUUCUUUAUUUGUUACGUUCCGCCAUACCGCUUACAAUAUUUUUCAAACUUAAAAAAAGGCUAUCACAUUUCGUAGCUCAGUGCUCGCAAAUUCAAUAGCUACAACUGAAUUGAUGCAUUAGGUAACGAGUUCGUCGUGUAACGAAUUAACGGAGACGAGUCCCUCUCUUUGCGAACCACAGCGCAGUUGGCCCAAGCCAAGGUGUAAGAGCCUAAACCGAGACAUACGCAGGAUCAGAACUUUUCCGAGGCAUGAAGAAGUACAUUCGAGUACUCCCCGUGGAGAUAUGCUCUCGUCGCCGACAGUUCACUUUCAUGAGCAAAGUAGCAGGUUCUACCUCUCGAUAUUUUCAUUUGAACAUAUGGAUGAAUGUUCUUUGAUUUUAAUCGGAUAAAUCGAAGGCUUAUCGAAUUUAAGAAUCGCUUAUGCUGAAUACUUUAUUACUGUAAAAU